CAGUCGCCGCGGUAAUACGAGGGGAGCUAGCGUUAUUCGGAAUUACUGGGCGUAAAGCGCACGUAGGCGGCUUUGUAAGUUAGAGGUGAAAGCCCAGGGCUCAACUCUGGAAUUGCCUUUAAGACUGCAUCGCUUGAAUCCAGGAGAGGUGAGUGGAAUUCCGAGUGUAGAGGUGAAAUUCGUAGAUAUUCGGAAGAACACCAGUGGCGAAGGCGGCUCACUGGACUGGUAUUGACGCUGAGGUGCGAAAGCGUGGGGAGCAAACAGGAUUAGAUACCCGAGUAGUCCCUGUCUCUUAUAC
RNAcentral lists this ribosomal RNA (301 nucleotides) under uncultured bacterium. RNAcentral's name for it is "partial 16S ribosomal RNA". It matches the Rfam family "Bacterial small subunit ribosomal RNA", at positions 509 to 807 of the family's 1533-position model. The record is from RNAcentral.